CCAAUUUAAUUUUUCAUAGAAAAUAGAGAUAAAUAAUAAGAGAGAGAAAGAAAGAUAAAUGUAAUAUAAUCAAUAGAAAAAAAUAUGUUCAUAGAAGGUUAAAGGAAAGAGAGAUUGAAAAAUAAAAUACCUCAAAAUCUCGUGAUUAAUGUGAAACAAAUUUUAAGAUUUUAUGUGAGUACUUCUGCUUAAAGGUUAAUACUCUAGAGACUUUUAUAAAAGUCCCUAGAAGUCAUUAAAAUUUGAAUACCCCAAGACUUAUAGAGAUUUCUAAAAAAUUUUAAUUGAAUAUACCGUAACAGUUUUUAAAAGUCUAUAAAAGCCUCAAUUGAAUACCUCUAAACUUACAAGGUUUUUUUUUUUUUGUCAUGCUACUUUAAACCAUUUUGUUAAAAUAAUUAGAAUUAAUUUGAGUAGUCCGUGAUCUUUUAUACCAGGCAAAACUAAAGUAAGCGAAAGUAGGCUAUGAAUUAUUGAAUAAAUGAUGUAAAACACUAAUAGGAAAAAACAAGAGGCUACAAAAAUGACACAAAAACAACAAUUGAAGUUCUCAUCCUUAGAACUUUAAACUAAUGUAAUCGGGUGCCUAACACGAACAACUUUAAUCUAACAAGUAACUAGCUAAAAUGUGCCGAGUUGAGUAAUUAACUCUUUAUUUAAUCUCCUAAGACAUUCACAACCUAAUAUAAAAGAAAAUCAUUAAAUCAUUGCUUAUAUUUAGUUAAGAAUACAUUUGUGACGAAAAGUUCAAUACAAUUAAUACCAAAUGUUCAUAUGAAGAACUGAAAAUAGAUAAGAAAAUAGACAAGUAAGUUCAUUUGAACUAACACACGAAUAUCUUUCACGUUUAUGAAUGGAUUUUUCUAAAACUUACAUACAUUUAUUUUUAACAUUAACCAAUUAAUGUGCAAGGCACGUUAACCACACUAGUAGACAUAAAUAAGUGUACAUAUUUUACACUAUUGUAUAUCUUUCUGCAGUCCUAGAAUCUAACUGUCUUUCUGCUGAAAAAUCUCAACUUUCUUGAUGGAAACUACUGGGUUUUCUUCUCCGAGACCAGAUGCUUUUCCGACACGUCUUAGGGUUCUUGUUGUUGAUGAUGAUCCCACCUGGUUGAAGAUUCUUGAGAAGAUGCUCAAGAAGUGUUCGUAUCAAGGUUCUCUUAGAAUAAAUUUAUCAAUUUUUUUUAGUGAUUCUAAUAUUAUUUUUAUUGCAUGGUUUAUCAGUGCAAUUAUCUUCUUUUUUCAUGUGGUCAAUUAUCUUCUUGACAUAUUAGUUCAUAGUUAAUUUUCACUUUUUUGUUCUUUUGAUUUUUGGAGGGAUUUUAUUUUUGUGUUAUACAGAGGUUUUGAGUUGGUUUGUGGGACAUUUUAUCUGAGAUUUUUAUUUUUUUUAUGUUUGGUAUUUUGCAAGAAAAAUAUGCUAAAAUCUUAUUUAUUAUAUUGUCUUGUCCUAUCCAGUACUAUAUACUGAAAAACAGUUCACAUACUAAUUUUUUGUGAGAGCUUGAAGUCUGCAACUAUGACUUGCUUGGUUUUGGAAUUGAAUUUUCAUUUUUUUCCCCUUUUUUUUAUGUGUUUUCGCUCAAAAGUUAUAUAUCUUGGUUAUAGUAUGAUGGUUCCUGGUGAAGUUCAGUGAUGAGAUAUAAAGUUUUGAGUUUAAUCCUUGUGCAAUUGUGUAAUGAUACCAAAUGUAUGCCUUAUUGAUUUGUUGAUUUAAUUUGAAAAAGAAAGUUUCCAUAUCUCUUUCCAAUUUUGUCUCGAUUAGUUCACAAUAUUGAAUAACAGAUUUUUCCAUUCGGUUUCCUUUUUCCUUUAGUUUCACAAUUUUGUUCCCUUUUUUGUCAACCCUAAGCUCACCCGCUCCCUCAACUUCUAAUGUACAGAAUCUCGAACUGGAAUUCUGUACAACCCAGCAGUGACCACCCAGAAGUCAAAGCACCGCCGACGAGGACCACCGAUUUUUUGACACGGUUUGCCUUUUCCUUUAGUUUCGAAUUUUUUUUUUUAGUUUUCUAUAUUUUUUCGUUCAGUCAAUCACAAAUUAAAGAGGACAAUGUUGCAAGUUGAUAUUCAUGUUCCGAACUAAGAGGAAAUAUUUGUUGUUGCUUUUGACAGUGAAAAGAUACUCAAUAUCUAGUGCCACUAUUCUUUUCAAGUUUCACUGCGCGUAAUGAAUAUCCAAGGUUUACGCUUUUGUCUUCUCUCUGUCCAAUUCUAAAUUCUGUUUUUGGCGAGAAAUAAAAAAACUUAACCGAAUUAUGGGGAAGAUAACGAGGUUGAUUACUGGUGGGGUGCAGUACAAUGAAGUGGGUGUUGGUUUAUGUGAAUUUUUUUUUUGUUAUGAGACAUUGGAUGCACAAUCUUCUCUCCUGUCCAAUUCCAAAAUUCAAUUGUUGUGUUAUGAGACAUUGGAUUGGUUUCCUAAUUAAUUAAUGGUAUAUUUUAUCACGUGAUUGUGAAUUUCUGAGACGAGCAAGAUUGAACUUGGGAAAAAAGAUGAUGCAGUUUCUACACUUGUGUCUUUUGACUUUUCUCCUAUCCAAUUCCAAAUUCAUUUUUGGCGUUACGAGACAUUGUAUGCAUAAUGUUAACCUCUGUCGAAAGUCCUAUUCCGAAUAGAGGUAUUGUGUGAAGAUACAUAAGCUGUCUUUUCUUAUUAAUUAAUGAUUGUUGUUAUCAUCUUAUCGUACAUUUGUGAGGCUUGUACGACUGAACUUAGGCAAAAAAAUAUGAUGCUGAUUCUUAGGAAGUGUUGAGGAUCUUGGGAGCAGUGUAUUAGUGUAUAACAAAAAGAUGUAUUAUCACAUCAUAGUUGAAUAUUCAAAAUCCAGUUCAGCGAAGCAUGUUUUGAUUAUUGGUACUUAGAGUGAGUGCUUGAAGAUCAGCUGUGUUGGAUAAAGAGAGGGAGAGUGUAUUUUUAAUGAAUUUGGGUAGCAUGGUUUUUGUUUAAUGGUUCAAUCCACUCUAUUAUGUUAUAUUGACUUGAGUUUCGCUUCACCCGCUUGAAUAAUCCUAUACUCGUAUGUUAUGUGGUGUACUAGGGAAUAUAACAAUUUAACACAUAUGCUAUGCAGAUUUGUAAAUCAUAGGACGUGCUUAUCAUUUUUGUCAGAAUUGUAAUCGUAUCUGCUCCUAAUAAAGAUAAAAAUUUACACAAUCUUAAUUCGAAUGUUUUGAUGCUAUGAAGUUGUCAUUAUUGGUGAUAUUGCUCAAUAUUAAGAGAAUUUUGUAGUUGAAUGGAACUUUCAUUUAUUUAAUACUCCUCACUUAUCUUUCUAGCUUCAUCACUUUCGAAUGUUAUAUGUCAGACUUUUCAUUGUUUAAGGCUUACAUUUUAUCUUGUUUUCAUACAACGCAGACAUUGAAAUCAUGUCCAAUACCAUGUUGGAACCAAUCGAUGUCCCUGUCAAAGAAAGAGCGACGUUGACAAUGUUCCACUUUGGUUGACUGUGGAGAAUGCAUGGAGGUACAUUUUAUUUUAUAUUAUUGUAUAUUUAUUUUUUGGGAAAUGUUGGUUAUGUUCAAGUGGCAUUCACUGUCAAAGAAACUGUGUGGAUUUAAUACAGACAAUGUUGGUACGGAAAUUAUUUUUUGCCCACUUUGUAAGUUUCUUGCUUUUUGAACUCAUUCGACUUAGAGGUUAAAACCAGUAUCCAAUUGAAAAAUAAAAAUUGGUGCUUUUUAUAAGUUUCUUACUUUCGAAAAAUAAGAAAAUUGGUAUAUUUUAUAAGUUUAUCGCUUUCGAAAAUAUGAAAAUUAUAAGUUUGACCAAUAUCUGGAUCGUAGUCUAUAAAUGGAAAUUAUAGAGAUUAUAAGUUUCUUGCUUUCGGAAAAAUGAAAAUUAGUGCAUUUUAUAAGUUUCUCAUUUAAAACACCAAUAAGGAAAUGAUAGUGAAUGUCUAACCAAUACAAGUAUACUUUGUGGUUCAAUGCAUCAUACCAAUUGUCUAUCAAAUUAAAUUUGAGAUAUGAUGAAAAUAAGUUGGUAGUUGGAAACUAAUUAACUUUAAUUAACCAUCUUCCAGCAAGUUCAUUAUAAAUAGUAGUGCAUGAGUUCAUGUUCAUAAUCCAUCCCUUGAAAGACUAGAGAAGUUUUUGUGAUACUCUCAUAUUGAAACAGUUAAUUGAUAUGAGAUAAUGGAUUCAUCCACCUCCAGCAACGAACCAUUCAACCCCAAUAUGAAUUCGCCGAUACUGGGUUCGGUCGCUGAAUUUUGCAUCGUUUUAUCCUCAGACGAUGAGGAGGUAAGCGUUGAGCACCAUGGUGCCAAGUUCGAUGAAGUGUUAAGUACAGAAUUUAGGUCAUCGAAUAGCAUGCUCGAUCAAGUCUUCGAGGUCAAGGGUCCGAUCAAAUCACCGUCGACUCGGAUGAGUGGUUGGCUCACCUUCCACUUCCAGAAAUAAUUGUCAUAAGCUCAGACAAUUCUGAUAAAGAAAGUGGGAAAGAAGCUUAAAAUGGAGAUAGCAAUGCGAGUGUGCAAUAAAUGACCCUUUUGUAGGAAAUUAUAUAUAGUAUUUUGUGGUAAGGAUAAUUUUGGUCACAUCCGUUGCGUACGUGCAGCAAUAUGUCAAUAAUGGGUAACCGCAAUAGUGUAUUUUUUGGAAGCCGUUAUUGUUCUUAACUGUCGAGAAUUACAGAAACCAUCUGUUG
Molecule: long non-coding RNA, 4653 nt
Filed under: Olea europaea subsp. europaea
Lineage: Eukaryota; Viridiplantae; Streptophyta; Magnoliopsida; Lamiales; Oleaceae
Source: RNAcentral